GUCUCGCGCACCGCCGAGAGUCAGAACAGAGCUCUCGGGGCGCGGGAGGUGGUAGGCGUGCCGCGGGUAGAGGGGGCGCUCAGCAGCUUGUGGGAGGCCAGGCUGGCCCCUUAGCCUGAGAGUCGACUGGCCGAGGAGGCGAGGAGGGGCCCUUCGUCCGCUCCCCCUCGGAGCUCUUCCAGAAUACCUGAGUUCGCUCAGGGCCGCGAGCCCGAGGGUCCCGCGCGGCCCUCCUACCCCUCGGCAGCCCUCGGCCGCCGGGACCUCGCCAGGCGUGGCAGGCUGGGCGACACCCCGGCUGGGGGACCGUGUCCCGCAGCCCCAAUGCCGCCGCGAGCAGAGUGGAGUGGCUGCAGGUGGUUGGAAGCGUGGAGGUGUCCCCCGGUGGCGAGUGCGCCCAGGACACCGGUCUCUGACAAGUUUUGUGCGCGCGCGUUGCAGGGACAGUGUGUGUGAGUCUGGCAUUGGGUAUUUUGUCCCAGUGCUGAGAAAAAUGACGAAGACACCCUCUCACAUGAUGAGGACGUCUCUGGAGCCACUUUGCAGACUGGAACUCAGACAAUGAUCAGCCAGACCCUUGCCCGCCCACCCCAGCAGCCCAGAGAAAACUUGCCCGUUCCUUUGUCAAUGGACCAGUCUGAUAAUCUCCAGUGUGUGCCCCUUCAGCUUUUCUGGGCCUGAAGUCCCUUUCCCGUUUUUUUCUGUCUUCUUAAUUAAAGCUUUGCCUGCAUUCUCUCUCA
This is a non-coding RNA of Heterocephalus glaber (naked mole-rat), 740 nucleotides long. The record is from RefSeq and is a predicted model, not a curated record. NCBI's taxonomy places the organism in Eukaryota, Metazoa, Chordata, Mammalia, Rodentia, Bathyergidae.